This 2904-nucleotide ribosomal RNA is filed under the name Escherichia coli. RNAcentral's name for it is "bacterial LSU rRNA". It matches the Rfam family "Bacterial large subunit ribosomal RNA". Lineage: Bacteria; Pseudomonadati; Pseudomonadota; Gammaproteobacteria; Enterobacterales; Enterobacteriaceae. The record is from RNAcentral.
UUAAGCGACUAAGCGUACACGGUGGAUGCCCUGGCAGUCAGAGGCGAUGAAGGACGUGCUAAUCUGCGAUAAGCGUCGGUAAGGUGAUAUGAACCGUUAUAACCGGCGAUUUCCGAAUGGGGAAACCCAGUGUGUUUCGACACACUAUCAUUAACUGAAUCCAUAGGUUAAUGAGGCGAACCGGGGGAACUGAAACAUCUAAGUACCCCGAGGAAAAGAAAUCAACCGAGAUUCCCCCAGUAGCGGCGAGCGAACGGGGAGCAGCCAGAGCCUGAAUCAGUGUGUGUGUUAGUGGAAGCGUCUGGAAAGGCGCGCGAUACAGGGUGACAGCCCCGUACACAAAAAUGCACAUACUGUGAGCUCGAUGAGUAGGGCGGGACACGUGGUAUCCUGUCUGAAUAUGGGGGGACCAUCCUCCAAGGCUAAAUACUCCUGACUGACCGAUAGUGAACCAGUACCGUGAGGGAAAGGCGAAAAGAACCCCGGCGAGGGGAGUGAAAAAGAACCUGAAACCGUGUACGUACAAGCAGUGGGAGCACGCUUCGGCGUGUGACUGCGUACCUUUUGUAUAAUGGGUCAGCGACUUAUAUUCUGUAGCAAGGUUAACCGAAUAGGGGAGCCGAAGGGAAACCGAGUCUUAACUGGGCGUUAAGUUGCAGGGUAUAGACCCGAAACCCGGUGAUCUAGCCAUGGGCAGGUUGAAGGUUGGGUAACACUAACUGGAGGACCGAACCGACUAAUGUUGAAAAAUUAGCGGAUGACUUGUGGCUGGGGGUGAAAGGCCAAUCAAACCGGGAGAUAGCUGGUUCUCCCCGAAAGCUAUUUAGGUAGCGCCUCGUGAAUUCAUCUCCGGGGGUAGAGCACUGUUUCGGCAAGGGGGUCAUCCCGACUUACCAACCCGAUGCAAACUGCGAAUACCGGAGAAUGUUAUCACGGGAGACACACGGCGGGUGCUAACGUCCGUCGUGAAGAGGGAAACAACCCAGACCGCCAGCUAAGGUCCCAAAGUCAUGGUUAAGUGGGAAACGAUGUGGGAAGGCCCAGACAGCCAGGAUGUUGGCUUAGAAGCAGCCAUCAUUUAAAGAAAGCGUAAUAGCUCACUGGUCGAGUCGGCCUGCGCGGAAGAUGUAACGGGGCUAAACCAUGCACCGAAGCUGCGGCAGCGACGCUUAUGCGUUGUUGGGUAGGGGAGCGUUCUGUAAGCCUGUGAAGGUGUACUGUGAGGUAUGCUGGAGGUAUCAGAAGUGCGAAUGCUGACAUAAGUAACGAUAAAGCGGGUGAAAAGCCCGCUCGCCGGAAGACCAAGGGUUCCUGUCCAACGUUAAUCGGGGCAGGGUGAGUCGACCCCUAAGGCGAGGCCGAAAGGCGUAGUCGAUGGGAAACAGGUUAAUAUUCCUGUACUUGGUGUUACUGCGAAGGGGGGACGGAGAAGGCUAUGUUGGCCGGGCGACGGUUGUCCCGGUUUAAGCGUGUAGGCUGGUUUUCCAGGCAAAUCCGGAAAAUCAAGGCUGAGGCGUGAUGACGAGGCACUACGGUGCUGAAGCAACAAAUGCCCUGCUUCCAGGAAAAGCCUCUAAGCAUCAGGUAACAUCAAAUCGUACCCCAAACCGACACAGGUGGUCAGGUAGAGAAUACCAAGGCGCUUGAGAGAACUCGGGUGAAGGAACUAGGCAAAAUGGUGCCGUAACUUCGGGAGAAGGCACGCUGAUAUGUAGGUGAAGUCCCUCGCGGAUGGAGCUGAAAUCAGUCGAAGAUACCAGCUGGCUGCAACUGUUUAUUAAAAAACACAGCACUGUGCAAACACGAAAGUGGACGUAUACGGUGUGACGCCUGCCCGGUGCCGGAAGGUUAAUUGAUGGGGUUAGCGGUAACGCGAAGCUCUUGAUCGAAGCCCCGGUAAACGGCGGCCGUAACUAUAACGGUCCUAAGGUAGCGAAAUUCCUUGUCGGGUAAGUUCCGACCUGCACGAAUGGCGUAAUGAUGGCCAGGCUGUCUCCACCCGAGACUCAGUGAAAUUGAACUCGCUGUGAAGAUGCAGUGUACCCGCGGCAAGACGGAAAGACCCGUGAACCUUUACUAUAGCUUGACACUGAACAUUGAGCCUUGAUGUGUAGGAUAGGUGGGAGGCUUUGAAGUGUGGACGCCAGUCUGCAUGGAGCCGACCUUGAAAUACCACCCUUUAAUGUUUGAUGUUCUAACGUUGGCCCCUGAUCGGGGUUGCGGACAGUGUCUGGUGGGUAGUUUGACUGGGGCGGUCUCCUCCUAAAGAGUAACGGAGGAGCACGAAGGUUGGCUAAUCCUGGUCGGACAUCAGGAGGUUAGUGCAAUGGCAUAAGCCAGCUUGACUGCGAGCGUGACGGCGCGAGCAGGUGCGAAAGCAGGUCAUAGUGAUCCGGUGGUUCUGAAUGGAAGGGCCAUCGCUCAACGGAUAAAAGGUACUCCGGGGAUAACAGGCUGAUACCGCCCAAGAGUUCAUAUCGACGGCGGUGUUUGGCACCUCGAUGUCGGCUCAUCACAUCCUGGGGCUGAAGUAGGUCCCAAGGGUAUGGCUGUUCGCCAUUUAAAGUGGUACGCGAGCUGGGUUAGAACGUCGUGAGACAGUUCGGUCCCUAUCUGCCGUGGGCGCUGGAGAAACUGAGGGGGGCUGCUCCUAGUACGAGAGGACCGGAGUGGACGCAUCACUGGUGUUCGGGUUGUCAUGCCAAUGGCACUGCCCGGUAGCUAAAUGCGGAAGAGAUAAGUGCUGAAAGCAUCUAAGCACGAAACUUGCCCCCGAGAUGAGUUCUCCCUGACUCCUUGAGAGUCCUGAAGGAACGUUGAAGACGACGACGUUGAUAGGCCGGGUGUGUAAGCGCAGCGAUGCGUUGAGCUAACCGGUACUAAUGAACCGUGAGGCUUAACCUU